AUCCAGCUGAUGAGUCCCGAAUAGGAUGAAACGUGCGUCCUGGAU
This 45-nucleotide non-coding RNA is filed under the name Schistosoma margrebowiei. Lineage: Eukaryota; Metazoa; Platyhelminthes; Trematoda; Strigeidida; Schistosomatidae. The record is from RNAcentral.